Molecule: transfer RNA, 82 nt
Filed under: Solirubrobacterales bacterium
Lineage: Bacteria; Bacillati; Actinomycetota; Thermoleophilia; Solirubrobacterales
Description: tRNA-Tyr
Rfam family: tRNA
About the family: Transfer RNA (tRNA) molecules are approximately 80 nucleotides in length.
Source: RNAcentral
GGCGGGUUAGCGAAGUGGUCAAACGCAUGCGGCUGUAAACCGCACCUCUCAGAGUUCCCAGGUUCGAAUCCUGGACCCGCCA